UGGGCAACCUACCCUUGACUCUGGGAUAACUCCGGGAAACCGAGGCUAAUACCGGAUACUCCGGUCGAACCGCAUGGCUCGAUCGGGAAAGCUCCGACGGUCUGGGAUGGGCCCGCGGCCUAUCAGCUUGUUGGUGGGGUAACGGCCUACCAGGGCGACGACGGGUAGCUGGUCUGAGAGGACGACCAGCCACACUGGAACUGAGAUACGGUCCAGACUCCUACGGGAG
This 229-nucleotide ribosomal RNA is filed under the name uncultured bacterium. RNAcentral describes it as "partial 16S ribosomal RNA". It matches the Rfam family "Bacterial small subunit ribosomal RNA", at positions 118 to 347 of the family's 1533-position model. The record is from RNAcentral.